GGUGGAGUUCGUCUUCCAGUUUCAUAAAUUUUUCUAUCAACCGACGAACUUUCCUUUGGAGGUCUCGUAUCAUCGACUUCAUGGGAAUACCCUCCGGGAGGGGAAGAGCUUCGACAGGACACUGUCGUUGGAAGAUAAGAGCGCCAUGACUCAAAUCAAUGCAAGAAGAUAAGAAGAAGGAAAAGAAUACGAAAAGGGGGGGGGACCCUCCGUAAAGAUGAGUCCAGCUUCAUUGAUCAAAUAAGUUUUAAGUACAAGAGAACAAAAGAAAUAUAUAUAUAUAUCACCACAA
RNAcentral lists this long non-coding RNA (292 nucleotides) under Elaeis guineensis (African oil palm). RNAcentral describes it as "long non-coding RNA (EGUI_LNC052687)". Lineage: Eukaryota; Viridiplantae; Streptophyta; Magnoliopsida; Arecales; Arecaceae. The record is from RNAcentral.